Long non-coding RNA from Antechinus flavipes (yellow-footed antechinus), 1939 nucleotides. RefSeq lists it as uncharacterized. The transcript has 5 exons. NCBI's taxonomy places the organism in Eukaryota, Metazoa, Chordata, Mammalia, Dasyuromorphia, Dasyuridae. The record is from RefSeq and is a predicted model, not a curated record.
GCGUCACACAGCCAAUGGUUUGCCAUUUUAUUAUCCAUUUGACAGAUGGGGAAACUGAGGCAAAUUGGUUAAGUGAGUGGCCCAGGGACUCACAGCUAGUGAGUGUCUGAGAUCUGACUUGAGCUUAGGAAGAUGAGCCUUCCUUCCUCCAAGCCCAGAAAUCUAGCCGCCGCACCACCUAGCUGCCUUUAUUACUUCAGCCUUUAAGCUGGACUCCAGCCAAACAGGUCUAUACCCCCUCCUUCCCCUCUUCCCCCUCCCCCCAUGUGUAUAUGUCUGUCUAGUUAUUUGUCUUUCUAUCUCUCAUGUUUGUCUUUCGACAUGGCUUUGCUCACGCAUUCCUGCCUGCAUGUUCUCUUUUUUCACCCUUCUGUUGACUUCCUCCCAUCCUUCAAGGCCCAGAACAAGGAGAGACAGAAAUGGUUAGAUUUGCUCCCAGUCUUCACACCCAAAACCCGCUGCCUCCAGAACACAAAUCAGGAGAAGAAAAGGUUGUAGGGGAGGAAGACACAGGAUGGGGAGAAGGAUAAUGCUUGGGAUCUCGUCCAGCCCCUAGCUUUUGGGAUCCCCUAUAUUUUAAGACAUGGAAAAUGACCCAGAUAAUCUGCACUUGUUUCCCUAUUUGUACACUGAGAGAUUGGGGCUGCUUCUAAGAACACUCUGCACCAAGUCUUUCAGAUGGGGAAACUGAGGCUUAGAGAGGGGAGUAGCUUGCAAGUCUCAAGGAUAGUAGUAAUAAUAACUAGCUUUAAUUAUAAGGCAGCCAGGUGGUGCAGUUGAUUGCUGGGACUAGUAAAAAAAAGACUCAUUUUCCUGAGUUCAAAUCUGGCUCUGGUUAGUUAUUAACUGUGUGAUUCUGGAUAAGUCACUUUAUCUCAUUUGCCUCAGUUACCUUAUCUGUAAAAUGAGUUGGAGAAGAAGUGGCAAGUCAUUUCAGCAUCUUUGCCAAAAAACUCCAGUCGUGACUGAAAACAGAGCUGUGUUUCAAGGUUUACAAAGUGCUUUGCAGAGAUUUUCUCUUGAUCCUCACCUAGAGUGGUAACUACUCUUAUCAUCCUCAUUUUACAGAGGAGGAAACUGAGGCUGAAAGAAGUGAAUUGAUUUGUCCAAGGUCAUACACCUAGUAAGUUUCAGGGAGAUGGGAUUUGAAUUCAGGACUCCCCAACUUGAAGUCCGGCAGCUCAUUCUCCAGUUCACCGCCCGCUGAAGAGGUUUGCAACCGAGAUAGGGAGAAGUCCAGCUGACGUGUUAAGAUCAUCAAUCGCGAGCUGAAAGGGGCUCCUCUUCAUUUCAUAGCAACCAAGUCAAAGACAGGAAGCCCUUUACUGCUAAAGCCUCCCCCUUCCCCCCCAGCACCUUGAAUUCACCCAUGCCAGCCAACGGAUGGGUGCCUAUCAUCAAAAAGCCUGGCCAUGCCCCCUUAAGACUGCAAACAAAGCCAAGAAAGUGCGAGAAUUUAGAAUGCUCGCGAAGCCUUUGGAGUACAUGACACAGAAUAUCAGCAUCACAGACUGAGGAAUCUCCGAAGCCAUUUAACUCUAUGUGUAGCUGAACAGGAAUCUCCCAAUAACACAAUCACACGGUACCAGGGAGGAAAGAGUUGGGAAAUGUGAAUUCAAGUCCUGAUUUUCUCCUUUGCUAUUUGUGGGGUCCUAGUUCUGACCUCAGGAAACAAGAAUAACAAGUUGAUACUGUCUCCCAAUAUUGGCCUGGCACCCACUUCACCACAGCCGCCAUUGCUUCCCUCCCAAGCCUCCUCAUCUCUUCCACCCAUCUUUAUCUGCAUUAUUCUAGACUCCCUCUUCUGAAGGUGUUCCAGCUCUACUGUGUGGUCCCAGCCCUGAGCACCAUGUGCCAAAUGUGCUUUGGUCAAGGCAGAAAAUAGUGGGACUGCUGUGGCCGUUUAAUUCAAUGUAACAAAACAUUCAGUAAGCACCUA